Molecule: non-coding RNA, 149 nt
Filed under: human gut metagenome
Source: RNAcentral
UAGCCGGGUAUGGGAGAAUAGGGAAGUUGAGUGAAAAGCUCACACGGUCACGCCGCUGUAUGGGAGGAGCUGUAUUUUACAAUGCCACCGGGAAACCGGGAAGGCAAAAUGCAGUGUUGAGACCUGAGUCAGAAGACCUGCCUUGUGCA